GGGGAUAACUGUCUCACCCAAGUUAUAUAAAAAUUACUUAGUGAGUGAAAAGUCUCAUAUAUUGAAGAAAGACGAGAAGACCCUAGAAAUUUUUUAUAAGUAUGUUAAAUAUAAUCUAUUUUGUUGGGGCGACAUAGUAACAGUUAACUUACUAUAUAAUAUGCUAUUUAUAAAUUGAAAGAAUAAAUUACUCUAGGGAUAACAGCAUUAUUCGUUUAUGAGUUUGUGACCUCGAUGUUGGACUA
Molecule: ribosomal RNA, 245 nt
Filed under: Trochulus sp. AD-2010a
Lineage: Eukaryota; Metazoa; Mollusca; Gastropoda; Stylommatophora; Hygromiidae
Description: partial 16S ribosomal RNA
Source: RNAcentral